UACGGAGGGUGCGAGCGUUGCCCGGAUUUAUUGGGCGUAAAGGGCGCGUAGGCGGCCACGCACGUCCGUUGUGAAAUCGCCCGGCUCAACUGGGCGGGGUCGGCGGAUACGGCGUGGCUGGAGCAAGCUAGGGGGCAAUGGAAUUCCCGGUGUAGUGGUGGAAUGCGUAGAUAUCGGGAGGAACACCAGUGGCGAAGGCGGUUGCCUGGAGCUUUGCUGACGCUGAGGCGCGAAAGCGUGGGGAGCGAUCCGG
This 253-nucleotide ribosomal RNA is filed under the name uncultured bacterium. Its description in RNAcentral is "partial 16S ribosomal RNA". It matches the Rfam family "Bacterial small subunit ribosomal RNA", at positions 524 to 776 of the family's 1533-position model. The record is from RNAcentral.